RNAcentral lists this ribosomal RNA (867 nucleotides) under uncultured bacterium. RNAcentral describes it as "bacterial SSU rRNA". It matches the Rfam family "Bacterial small subunit ribosomal RNA", at positions 8 to 864 of the family's 1533-position model. The record is from RNAcentral.
AGAGUUUGAUCAUGGCUCAGAUUGAACGCUGGCGGCAGGCUUAACACAUGCAAGUCGAACGGUAACAGGAAGGAAGCUUGCUUUCUUUGCUGACGAGUGGCGGACGGGUGAGUAAUGCUUGGGAAUCUGGCUUAUGGAGGGGGAUAACUACGGGAAACUGUAGCUAAUACCGCGUAAUAUCUUCGGAUUAAAGGGUGGGACCGUAAGGCCACCUGCCAUAAGAUGAGCCCAAGUGGGAUUAGGUAGUUGGUGGGGUAAAGGCCUACCAAGCCGACGAUCUCUAGCUGGUCUGAGAGGAUGACCAGCCACACUGGAACUGAGACACGGUCCAGACUCCUACGGGAGGCAGCAGUGGGGAAUAUUGCACAAUGGGGGGAACCCUGAUGCAGCCAUGCCGCGUGAAUGAAGAAGGCCUUCGGGUUGUAAAGUUCUUUCGGUGGUGAGGAAGGCAGGUAAGUUAAUAGCUUACUUGAUUGACGUUAGUCACAGAAGAAGCACCGGCUAACUCCGUGCCAGCAGCCGCGGUAAUACGGAGGGUGCGAGCGUUAAUCGGAAUGACUGGGCGUAAAGGGCACGCAGGCGGUGACUUAAGUGAGAUGUGAAAGCCCCGGGCUUAACCUGGGAAUUGCAUUUCAUACUGGGUCGCUAGAGUAUUUUAGGGAGGGGUAGAAUUCCACGUGUAGCGGUGAAAUGCGUAGAGAUGUGGAGGAAUACCGAAGGCGAAGGCAGCCCCUUGGGAAUAUACUGACGCUCAUGUGCGAAAGCGUGGGGAGCGAACAGGAUUAGAUACCCUGGUAGUCCACGCUGUAAACGCUGUCGAUUUGGGGAUUGGGCUUUGAGCUUGGUGCCCGUAGCUAACGUGAUAAA